Molecule: long non-coding RNA, 599 nt
Organism: Octopus sinensis (East Asian common octopus)
Lineage: Eukaryota; Metazoa; Mollusca; Cephalopoda; Octopoda; Octopodidae
Exons: 2
Source: RefSeq, a predicted model, not a curated record
UCUAGGAGAUUGCGGCUGUCUGCCUGGCGUUUGGCCCCAUCCGCAUCACCCCGCCCUGAACGAUUAUCUCUAACACCAAAAAUCCAGAGAAGUUACCCUCAACCCAGACGGCCAUUAUAUGCAUGGAGAUAUGAUUCCGACUCCUGCAACUCCUGAAUCCAUGACGUUAGCAACUCCAGAAGGACCGUACAUUACAACUGGGCUACACCCACGUUCCUUGGCAGCACACGGAUUCACAACAACAUUCUCACAUAAUCACCCGCGCGCCGAACUUACAGGAGAAGCAUGGUGACACCACGUGAUGAGUAACACUGAAAGCUUUACACAUCCCCAUCAUAAUCAUCACCAUCAUCAACAACUACUACAACAACAACAACAACAACAGCUGCAGCAGCAACAUCAACAACAACUACCACCACAUCAACAACAUAACCAAAAGCAACAAUUACUUUUAGUACAACAACUACUGCAACUCCGACAAGAAAGGAUGAAAGAAAAAAACAACAACGCUCUCACAUAUAAAUAAUAUUGGUUGUGACAAGACAUGACACUUCCAAUAGUACAUAAAUCUUUAUUGAAAAAUGAAAAAUAUAUUUAAA